ACGCUGGCGGCGUGCCUAAUACAUGCAAGUCGAACGCUGGAGAUCUAGCUUGCUAGAUCGAAGGAGUGGCGAACGGGUGAGUAAUACAUAAGCAACCUACCCACGAAGACUGGGAUAAUCUCUGGAAACGGGGACUAAUACCGGAUAGGUAAUCGGAAGGCAUCUUCUGAUUAUUAAAGGUUAAAAACACUGGUGGAUGGGCUUAUGGCGCAUUAGUUAGUUGGUGAGGUAACGGCCCACCAAGACGAUGAUGCGUAGCCGGCCUGAGAGGGUGAACGGCCACAUUGGGACUGAGACACGGCCCAGACUCCUACGGGAGGCAGCAGUAGGGAAUUUUCGGCAAUGGGGGAAACCCUGACCGAGCAACGCCGCGUGAGUGAUGACGGCCUUCGGGUUGUAAAGCUCUGUUGUAAGGGAAGAACGGUAGAUAGAGAAUAUCUAAGUGACGGUACCUUACCAGAAAGCCACGGCUAACUACAUGCCAGCAGCCGCGGUAAUACGUAGGUGGCGAGCGUUAUCCGGAAUUAUUGGGCGUAAAGGGUGCGUAGGCGGCCUGUUAAGUAAGUGGUUAAAUUGUUGGGCUCAACCCAAUCCAGCCACUUAAACUGGCAGGCUAGAGUAUUGGAGAGGCAAGUGGAAUUCCAUGUGUAGCGGUAAAAUGCGUAGAUAUAUGGAGGAACACCAGUGGCGAAGGCGGCUUGCUAGCCAAAGACUGACGCUCAUGCACGAAAGCGUGGGGAGCAAAUAGGGUUAGAUACCCUAGUAGUCCACGCCGUAAACGAUGAAUACUAAGUAUUGGGGAAACUCAGUGCUGUAGCUAACGCAAUAAGUAUUCCGCCUGUGGAGUAUGCACGCAAGUGUGAAACAUAAAGGAAUUGACGGGGGCCCGCACAAGCGGUGGAGUAUGUGG
Molecule: ribosomal RNA, 910 nt
Filed under: uncultured bacterium
Lineage: Bacteria
Description: bacterial SSU rRNA
Rfam family: Bacterial small subunit ribosomal RNA
Source: RNAcentral